Non-coding RNA from Gossypium raimondii (Peruvian cotton), 46 nucleotides. Lineage: Eukaryota; Viridiplantae; Streptophyta; Magnoliopsida; Malvales; Malvaceae. The record is from Rfam.
UUAGCGGCGCUUUUAAGCGCCACUAAAAGAGCUGCAAAAAAGGCCG